GGGUACACUAAAGACUACACAUAUCUCGAAGACACUCUGAGACUAGAAGCAACAAAAGAAAAAAAGAGAGGCUAUUCUUAACGUGCAAGGAGGUUUGUGGUUCGUGAGAUUUGAAGAUCAUCUCUAACUUAAAGUUCACACCUAAAACCAAGAAAAGAAAAAAAAAAAACUUGUUCACACCAUAAAACCAUGCACAUAUACUAGGUUAUGUCAUCAGCUAGAUUCAUGCACAUCAGCACAUCCACAUAUAUAAAUAAUGAGGAGCGUCGUCAAAUAUUGAUGCCAAUGCUAAUCAAAUGUUAAAUGAUUUUGCCGUGUUAUGUCAUCAG
Arabidopsis thaliana (thale cress) is the source of this 329-nucleotide long non-coding RNA. RefSeq annotates it as other RNA. Lineage: Eukaryota; Viridiplantae; Streptophyta; Magnoliopsida; Brassicales; Brassicaceae. The transcript has a single exon. The record is from RefSeq.